RNAcentral lists this ribosomal RNA (1568 nucleotides) under groundwater metagenome. RNAcentral's name for it is "bacterial LSU rRNA". It matches the Rfam family "Bacterial large subunit ribosomal RNA", at positions 720 to 2267 of the family's 2925-position model. The record is from RNAcentral.
GCCAAGGCGAGCUUACCCCAGACAGGAUGAACCCGAGCGAAAGCGAGGGGGAGGGCCGAACUAGUGAUUUGUGCAAUAAUCUUGGAUGAUUUGGGGUAAGAAGUGAAAAGCUAAUCGAGCUUGGUAAUAGCUGGUUCUCUCCGAAACAGUUUUCGGACUGGCGCCACGCAAAAACGUUAUGGGGGUAGAGCUACUGGUUAAUUUGUAAUGGGCGAAAGCUCGGCAAAUCAGUCAAACUCCGAAUACCGUAUUGGAGGUGUGGUAGUUAGACUGUGGGGGCAAAGCUCCAUAGUCGCGAGGGGAAUAGCCCAGCUCGCCGUCUAAGAUCCCCAAAUUCUUGCUCAGUGUUAAAGGUAGUCAUUAACCGCAGACAGGCAGGAGGUUGGCUUAGAGGUAGCCAUCCUUUAAAGUGUGUGUAACAACUCACUGCUCGAUGGUUCGUGGCGCCGAAAAUGUACCGGGGCUUAAGCAAGAUACCGACGACGCGGAUUUACCGGCUUUAUUGCCGGUAAGUGGUAGGAGAGCAUUCCAAUCUGCUGUGAAGAUUCACCCGUGAGGGGGAUUGGAGCGUUUGGAAGAGAGAAUGUUGGCAUGAGUAACCAUCAAAGUCGAUGAGAAAUCGACUCCCCGCAAAUCCAAGGUUUCCGUGGCAAUGGCAAUCAACCACGGGUUAGGCGAUCCUAAGGCAAUGGCGAAAACCGUAGCUGAUGGGUAGCCGGUUAAUAUUCCGGCCCGCCUUUUAUAUUCGAUGGAGGGACGGAGGACAUAAGUCGGAGCGCCUUAAUGGUUUGGCGUCGAGGACAUUAAGCGGUGAUUUCCAGGCAAAUCCGGAAAUCUGCCUUUGAUGGCGAUCGCGCGUGUUCGCGUAAGGCUAAGUUUUUACUUGGCUAAUUUCGAUGAAGAGACUCCCGAGAAAAGCUUCUAAGAUUAGUAUAAGAGGCAUCGUACCGUAAACCGACACUGGUGGGUGAGGCGAGAAGCCUCAGGGGAACGAGUGAGGCAUCCUCAAGGAACUAGGCAAAAAAGCGGCCGUAAGUUCGCAAUAAGGCCUGCCCUUCGCAAGAAGGGCCGCAGCGAAAGUAUCUCUGGCGACUGUUUACUAAAAACACAGCUCCCUGCAAACUCGUAAGAGGACAUAUAGGGGGUGAGACCUGACCGAUGCGAGAAGGUUAACGGUGGGGGUUUUUCUAUAGCAAUAUGGUAAAGCUCACUGCCCGAAGCCCUCGUCAAUGUCGGCCGUAACUAUAACGGUCCUAAGGUAGCGCAAUUCCUUGUCGGGUAAGUUCCGACGCGCACGAAAGGUGUAACGACUGGGGGACUGUCUCGGGGAGCAGCCCGGUGAAAAUACGAUGCCGGUGAAGACGCCGGCUACCUGCAGUUAGACGAAAAGACCCCGGAAGCUUUACUGCAACUUGACAUUGGGUAUAAGUUUUCCAUGCGUAGCAUAGUGGGGAGGCGUUGAAGCUUUGAUCUCGGUUGAAGCGGAGCCGUCAGUGAAAUACCCACCUUGAAAGACUUAUAUUCUAACCUUUCCGGCAAAAACGGACGGAGACAGUGUCUGGUGGGCA